Molecule: ribosomal RNA, 385 nt
Filed under: uncultured marine eukaryote
Lineage: Eukaryota
Description: SSU rRNA
Rfam family: Eukaryotic small subunit ribosomal RNA
Source: RNAcentral
GUUGCGGUUAAAAAGCUCGUAGUUGGAUUUCUGUUGAGGAUGACCGGUCCGCUCUUUGAGCGCGUAUCUGGUUCAGCCUUGGCAUCCUCUUGGGGAACGCUACUGUGCUUGAUUGCAUGGGGCGGUAUUCAAGACUUUUACUUUGAGGAAAUUAGAGUGUUCGCUGCAAGCGUUAGCAAUUGAAUACAUUAGCAUGGAAUAAUAAUAUAGGACCUUGGUACUAUUUUGUUGGUUUCUAGAACUAAGGUAAUGAUUAAUAGGGACAAUUGGGGGCAUUCGUAUUAACGCGUCAGAGGUGGAAUUCUUAGAUUGCGUUACGACGAACUACUGCGAAAGCAUUUGCCAAGGAUGUUUUCAUUGAUCAAGAACGAAAGUAUGGGGAUCG